This 88-nucleotide transfer RNA is filed under the name Colletotrichum zoysiae. Its description in RNAcentral is "tRNA-Asp". It matches the Rfam family "tRNA". From Rfam's summary of the family: Transfer RNA (tRNA) molecules are approximately 80 nucleotides in length. Their secondary structure includes four short double-helical elements and three loops (D, anti-codon, and T loops). The record is from RNAcentral. Lineage: Eukaryota; Fungi; Ascomycota; Sordariomycetes; Glomerellales; Glomerellaceae.
UCCCCGAUAGUCUAGUGGUGAGGAUAUCUGCUUGUCACUGCAUUGCAGCAGCUCGCAGGGGACCGGGGUUCAAUUCCCCGUCGAGGAG